This 68-nucleotide transfer RNA is filed under the name Indicator xanthonotus. RNAcentral's name for it is "tRNA-Glu". It matches the Rfam family "tRNA". From Rfam's summary of the family: Transfer RNA (tRNA) molecules are approximately 80 nucleotides in length. The record is from RNAcentral. Lineage: Eukaryota; Metazoa; Chordata; Aves; Piciformes; Indicatoridae.
AUUUCUGUAGUUGAAUAACAACGAUGGCUUUUCGAGCCAUAGGUCUUGGGUAAAACUAAGUAGAAAUA